GAGCUCAUGCGCAAACGGUACAUCCGGUGUGGUCGUUGGGUCCGCUAGAAGUUUGGGUAGUGUAAGGCCGGAGUACCUAGCUUGUAGGCAUGUCGGCCUCAGUAGUGUCGGUCAUCUCGCGGUUCCUAGAAGAGUACUUGAGCACUACUCCUCAGCGUCUGAAGUUGCUGGAUGCGUAUCUCCUGUAUAUACUGCUGACCGGGGCGCUGCAGUUCGGUUAUUGUCUCCUCGUGGGGACCUUCCCCUUCAACUCUUUCCUCUCGGGCUUCAUCUCUUGUGUGGGGAGCUUCAUCCUAGCGGUUUGUCUGAGAAUACAGAUCAACCCACAGAACAAAGCGGAUUUCCAAGGCAUCUCCCCAGAGCGAGCCUUUGCUGACUUUCUCUUUGCCAGCACCAUCCUGCACCUUGUGGUCAUGAACUUCGUUGGCUGAAUCAUUCCCAUUUACUUAAUUGAGGAGUGGGAGACUAGAAGAAUAUUCCCAUCAUCCAUUCACAGGAGGUGGAAAGUUAAAGUGUUCACUUUUUUAUUUCCCCUGGAGAAGAGCUCUUGAAAUGGCAGCUUGUUGGACACAUGGAUUUUCUUCAGAUUUGUACUUUCUAACGUCUCUGAUUUGGUAUGCUGGUGGAGAGCCAGAGAAGUUCCCUUUGCUUCUGUGUCAGAACAACUUUGUAAUGAGCAUUUGUGAACACGACCUCUCCCUCCAUUAUGUGUAACCUUUUUGCCUUCUAAAUUAAACUCCAUGUCACUCCUUUCUA
RNA transcript from Hipposideros armiger (great roundleaf bat), 756 nucleotides. It is a transcript of the gene named defender against cell death 1, with no coding region annotated. The transcript is spliced from 4 exons. The record is from RefSeq and is a predicted model, not a curated record. Lineage: Eukaryota; Metazoa; Chordata; Mammalia; Chiroptera; Hipposideridae.